AGUCGAACGGAUGGUAGCAAUACCAUUAGUGGCGGACGGGUGAGUAACGCGUGGGUAUCUACCCUAAAGUUCGGGAUAACUGCGGGAAACUGCAGCUAAUACCGGAUGUGGCCUGAGGGCCAAAGGAGCAAUCCGCUUUAGGAGGAGCCCGCGUCCGAUUAGCUAGUUGGCGGGGUAACGGCCCACCAAGGCUUCGAUCGGUAGCUGGUCUGAGAGGACGACCAGCCACACUGGGACUGAGACACGGCCCAGACUCCUGCGGGAGGCAGCAGUGGGGAAUAUUGGACAAUGGGGGAAACCCUGAUCCAGCAAUGCCGCGUGGGUGAUGAAGGCCUUCGGGUKGUAAAGCCCUUUUGGCGGGGACGAUGAUGACAGUACCCGCAGAAUAAGCCCCGGCUAACUUCGUGCCAGCAGCCGCGGUAAUACGAAGGGGGCUAGCGUUGUUCGGAAUUACUGGGCGUAAAGGGCGCGUAGGCGGC
This 479-nucleotide ribosomal RNA is filed under the name uncultured bacterium. RNAcentral describes it as "bacterial SSU rRNA". It matches the Rfam family "Bacterial small subunit ribosomal RNA", at positions 60 to 579 of the family's 1533-position model. The record is from RNAcentral.